UAAUGUCUGGGAAACUGCCUGAUGGAGGGUAAAAACUACUGGAAACGGUAGCUAAUACCGCAUAACGUCGCAAGACCAAAGAGGGGGACCUUUUCGGGCCUCUUGCCUCGGAUGUGCCCAGAUGGGAUUACUAGUAGGUGGGGUAACGGCUCACCUAGGCGACGAGGUCUAGCUGGUCUGAGAGGAUGACCAGCCACACUGGAACUGAGACACGGUCCAGACUCCUACGGGAGGCAGCCCAGUGGGGAAUAUUACAAUGGGCGCAAGCCUGAUGCAGCCAUGCCGCGUGUAUGGAAGGCCUUCGUUGUAAAAAAGUACUUUAACAGCGGGGAGAAGGGAGUAAAGUUAAUACCUUUGCUCAUUACGUUACCCGCAGAAGAAGCUUACCGGCUAACUCCGUGCAGCAGCCGCGGUAAUACGGAGGGUGCAACGUUAAUCGGAAUUACUGGGAACGUAAAGCACUGCAGGCGGUUUGUUAAGUCAGAUGUGAAAUCCCCGGGCUCAACCUGGGAACUGCAUCUGAUAGGCAAGCUUAAGAGUCUCGUAGAGGGGGGUAGAAUUCCAGGUGUAGCGGUGAAUGCGAGAGAUCAAAAUGGAGGAAUACCGGGCGAAGGCGGCCCCCUGGACGAAGACUGACGCUCAGGUGCGAAAGCGUGGGGAGAACACAGGAUUAGAUACCCUGGUAGUCCACGCCGUAAACGAUGUCGACUUGGAGGUUGUGUUGAGGCGGCUUCCGGUUUAGCUAACGCGUUAAGUAACGACCGCCUGGGGAGUACGGCCGCAAGGUUAAACUCAAAUGAAUUGACGGGGGCCGGCCACAAGCGGUGGAGCAUGUGGUUUAAUUCGAUGCAACGCGAAGAACCUUACCUGGUCUUGACAUCCGGAAGUUAAUUCAGAGAUGAGAAUGUGCCUUCGGGAACCGUGAGACAGGUGCUGCAUGGCUGUCGUCAGCUCGUGUUGUGAAAUGUUGGGUUAAGUCCCGCAACGAGCGCAACCCUUAUCCUUUUGCCAGCGGUCCGGCCGGGAACUCAAAGGAGACCCUGCCAGUGAUAAACUGGAGGAAGGUGGGGAUGACGUAGCAUCAUGGCCCUUAGUACGACCAGGGCUACACACGUGCUACAAUGGCGCAUA
Molecule: ribosomal RNA, 1131 nt
Filed under: Escherichia coli
Lineage: Bacteria; Pseudomonadati; Pseudomonadota; Gammaproteobacteria; Enterobacterales; Enterobacteriaceae
Description: bacterial SSU rRNA
Rfam family: Bacterial small subunit ribosomal RNA
Source: RNAcentral